UACGGAGGGUGCGAGCGUUAAUCGGAAUUACUGGGCGUAAAGGGCACGCAGGCGGGCUUUUAAGUGAGAUGUGAAAUCCCCGGGCUUAACCUGGGAAUAGCAUUUGAUACUGGGAAGCUAGAGUACUGUAGGGGGGGGUAGAAUUCCAGGUGUAGCGGUGAAAUGCGUAGAGAUGUGGAGGAAUACCGAUGGCGAAGGCAGCCCCUUGGGCAGGUACUGACGCUCAUGUGCGAAAGCGUGGGGAGCAAACAGG
Molecule: ribosomal RNA, 253 nt
Filed under: uncultured bacterium
Lineage: Bacteria
Description: partial 16S ribosomal RNA
Rfam family: Bacterial small subunit ribosomal RNA
Source: RNAcentral